CACAAUGGGCGCAAGCCUGAUGCAGCAACGCCGCGUGAGGGAUGACGGCCUUCGGGUUGUAAACCUCUUUUAGCAGGGAAGAAGCGAAAGUGACGGUACCUGCAGAAAAAGCGCCGGCUAACUACGUGCCAGCAGCCGCGGUAAUACGUAGGGCGCAAGCGUUAUCCGGAAUUAUUGGGCGUAAAGAGCUCGUAGGCGGUCUGUCGCGUCUGCUGUGAAAACCCGAGGCUCAACCUCGGGCCUGCAGUGGGUACGGGCAGACUAGAGUGCGGUAGGGGAGAUUGGAAUUCCUGGUGUAGCGGUGGAAUGCGCAGAUAUCAGGAGGAACACCGAUGGCGAAGGCAGAUCUCUGGGCCGUAACUGACGCUGAGGAGCGAAAGGGUGGGGAGCAAACAGGCUUAGAUACCCUGGUAGUCCACCCCGUAAACGUUGGGAACUAGUUGUGGGGUCCAUUCCACGGAUUCCGUGACGCAGCUAACGCAUUAAGUUCCCCGCCUGGGGAGUACGGCCGCAAGGCUAAAACUCAAAGGAAUUGACGGGGACCCGCACAAGCGGCGGAGCAUGCGGAUUAAUUCGAUGCAACGCGAAGAACCUUACCAAGGCUUGACAUAUAGAGGAAACGUCUGGAAACAGUCGCCCCGCAAGGUCUCUAUACAGG
Molecule: ribosomal RNA, 658 nt
Filed under: Microbacterium sp.
Lineage: Bacteria; Bacillati; Actinomycetota; Actinomycetes; Micrococcales; Microbacteriaceae
Description: bacterial SSU rRNA
Rfam family: Bacterial small subunit ribosomal RNA
Source: RNAcentral